ACUCCUACGGGAGGCAGCAGUAGGGAAUCUUCCACAAUGGACGAAAGUCUGAUGGAGCAACGCCGCGUGAGUGAAGAAGGGUUUCGGCUCGUAAAACUCUGUUGUUAAAGAAAGAACAUAUCUGAGAGUAACUGUUCAGGUAUUGACGGUAUUUAACCAGAAAGCCACGGCUAACUACGUGCCAGCAGCCGCGGUAAUACGUAGGUGGCAAGCGUUGUCCGGAUUUAUUGGGGCGUAAAGCGAGCGCAGGCGGUUUUUAAGUCUGAUGUGAAAGCCUUCGGCUCAACCGAAGAAGUGCAUCGGAAACUGGGAAACUUGAGUGCAGAAGAGGACAGUGGAACUCCAUGUGUAGCGGUGAAAUGCGUAGAUAUAUGGAAGAACACCAGUGGCGAAGGCGGCUGUCUGGUCUGUAACUGACGCUGAGGCUCGAAAGUAUGGGUAGCAAACAGGAUUAGAUACCCUGGUAGGAUAGCG
RNAcentral lists this ribosomal RNA (474 nucleotides) under uncultured bacterium. RNAcentral's name for it is "bacterial SSU rRNA". It matches the Rfam family "Bacterial small subunit ribosomal RNA", at positions 335 to 802 of the family's 1533-position model. The record is from RNAcentral.